RNAcentral lists this ribosomal RNA (378 nucleotides) under uncultured organism. Its description in RNAcentral is "bacterial LSU rRNA". It matches the Rfam family "Bacterial large subunit ribosomal RNA", at positions 2105 to 2485 of the family's 2925-position model. The record is from RNAcentral.
UUUAAUUUGAAUUGAUUGGACUUUAUUUGCGCAGUAUAGGUGGGAGACCUUGAGAAUAUUCUUGCGGGAGUAUUGGAGUCAUCAGUGAGAUACCACUCUUGUAAUGUUAGAUUUCUAACUUUGUAUCAUUAUCUGGUCAAAGGACAGUUUCAGGCGGGCAGUUUGACUGGGGCGGUCGCCUCCCAAAGGGUAACGGAGGCGCACAAAGGUUUCCUCUGAACGUGUAGAAAUCGUAUCUAGAGUGUAAAGGCAUAAGGAAGCUUGACUGUGAGACCUACAAGUCGAGCAGGGACGAAAGUCGGUCUUAGUGAUCUGACGGUGCUGAGUGGAAAGGCCGUCACUCAACGGAUAAAAGUUACUCUAGGGAUAACAGGCUGA